GGGACACGUGGUAUCCUGUCUGAAUAUGGGGGGACCAUCCUCCAAGGCUAAAUACUCCUGACUGACCGAUAGUGAACCAGUACCGUGAGGGAAAGGCGAAAAGAACCCCGGCGAGGGGAGUGAAAAAGAACCUGAAACCGUGUACGUACAAGCAGUGGGAGCCUCUUAAUGGGGUGACUGCGUACCUUUUGUAUAAUGGGUCAGCGACUUAUAUUCUGUAGCAAGGUUAACCGAAUAGGGGAGCCGAAGGGAAACCGAGUCUUAACUGGGCGUUAAGUUGCAGGGUAUAGACCCGAAACCCGGUGAUCUAGCCAUGGGCAGGUUGAAGGUUGGGUAACACUAACUGGAGGACCGAACCGACUAAUGUUGAAAAAUUAGCGGAUGACUUGUGGCUGGGGGUGAAAGGCCAAUCAAACCGGGAGAUAGCUGGUUCUCCCCGAAAGCUAUUUAGGUAGCGCCUCGUGAAUUCAUCUCCGGGGGUAGAGCACUGUUUCGGCAAGGGGGUCAUCCCGACUUACCAACCCGAUGCAAACUGCGAAUACCGGAGAAUGUUAUCACGGGAGACACACGGCGGGUGCUAACGUCCGUCGUGAAGAGGGAAACAACCCAGACCGCCAGCUAAGGUCCCAAAGUCAUGGUUAAGUGGGAAACGAUGUGGGAAGGCCCAGACAGCCAGGAUGUUGGCUUAGAAGCAGCCAUCAUUUAAAGAAAGCGUAAUAGCUCACUGGUCGAGUCGGCCUGCGCGGAAGAUGUAACGGGGCUAAACCAUGCACCGAAGCUGCGGCAGCGACGCUUAUGCGUUGUUGGGUAGGGGAGCGUUCUGUAAGCCUGUGAAGGUGGCCUGUGAGGGUUGCUGGAGGUAUCAGAAGUGCGAAUGCUGACAUAAGUAACGAUAAAGCGGGUGAAAAGCCCGCUCGCCGGAAGACCAAGGGUUCCUGUCCAACGUUAAUCGGGGCAGGGUGAGUCGACCCCUAAGGCGAGGCCGAAAGGCGUAGUCGAUGGGAAACAGGUUAAUAUUCCUGUACUUGGUGUUACUGCGAAGGGGGGACGGAGAAGGCUAUGUUGGCCGGGCGACGGUUGUCCCGGUUUAAGCGUGUAGGCUGGUUUUCCAGGCAAAUCCGGAAAAUCAAGGCUGAGGCGUGAUGACGAGGCACUACGGUGCUGAAGCGACAAAUGCCCUGCUUCCAGGAAAAGCCUCUAAGCAUCAGGUAACAUCAAAUCGUACCCCAAACCGACACAGGUGGUCAGGUAGAGAAUACCAAGGCGCUUGAGAGAACUCGGGUGAAGGAACUAGGCAAAAUGGUGCCGUAACUUCGGGAGAAGGCACGCUGAUAUGUAGGUGAAGCGACUUGCUCGUGGAGCUGAAAUCAGUCGAAGAUACCAGCUGGCUGCAACUGUUUAUUAAAAACACAGCACUGUGCAAACACGAAAGUGGACGUAUACGGUGUGACGCCUGCCCGGUGCCGGAAGGUUAAUUGAUGGGGUUAGCGGUAACGCGAAGCUCUUGAUCGAAGCCCCGGUAAACGGCGGCCGUAACUAUAACGGUCCUAAGGUAGCGAAAUUCCUUGUCGGGUAAGUUCCGACCUGCACGAAUGGCGUAAUGAUGGCCAGGCUGUCUCCACCCGAGACUCAGUGAAAUUGAACUCGCUGUGAAGAUGCAGUGUACCCGCGGCAAGACGGAAAGACCCCGUGAACCUUUACUAUAGCUUGACACUGAACAUUGAGCCUUGAUGUGUAGGAUAGGUGGGAGGCUUUGAAGUGUGGACGCCAGUCUGCAUGGAGCCGACCUUGAAAUACCACCCUUUAAUGUUUGAUGUUCUAACGUGGGCCCCUUACCGGGGUUGCGGACAGUGUCUGGUGGGUAGUUUGACUGGGGCGGUCUCCUCCUAAAGAGUAACGGAGGAGCACGAAGGUUGGCUAAUCCUGGUCGGACAUCAGGAGGUUAGUGCAAUGGCAUAAGCCAGCUUGACUGCGAGCGUGACGGCGCGAGCAGGUGCGAAAGCAGGUCAUAGUGAUCCGGUGGUUCUGAAUGGAAGGGCCAUCGCUCAACGGAUAAAAGGUACUCCGGGGAUAACAGGCUGAUACCGCCCAAGAGUUCAUAUCGACGGCGGUGUUUGGCACCUCGAUGUCGGCUCAUCACAUCCUGGGGCUGAAGUAGGUCCCAAGGGUAUGGCUGUUCGCCAUUUAAAGUGGUACGCGAGCUGGGUUUAGAACGUCGUGAGACAGUUCGGUCCCUAUCUGCCGUGGGCGCUGGAGAACUGAGGGGGGCUGCUCCUAGUACGAGAGGACCGGAGUGGACGCAUCACUGGUGUUCGGGUUGUCAUGCCAAUGGCACUGCCCGGUAGCUAAAUGCGGAAGAGAUAAGUGCUGAAAGCAUCUAAGCACGAAACUUGCCCCGAGAUGAGUUCUCCCUGAGACUUAGAGUCUCCUGAAGGAACGUUGAAGACGACGACGUUGAUAGGCCGGGUGUGUAAGCGCAGCGAUGCGUUGAGCUAACCGGUACUAAUGAACCGUGAGGCUUAACCUU
Molecule: ribosomal RNA, 2527 nt
Filed under: Escherichia coli
Lineage: Bacteria; Pseudomonadati; Pseudomonadota; Gammaproteobacteria; Enterobacterales; Enterobacteriaceae
Description: partial 23S ribosomal RNA
Rfam family: Bacterial large subunit ribosomal RNA
Source: RNAcentral